CCUACGGGAGGCAGCAGUGGGGAAUAUUGGACAAUGGGGGCAACCCUGAUCCAGCCAUGCCGCGUGUGUGAAGAAGGCCCUCGGGUUGUAAAGCACUUUCAGUGAGGAAGAACGCCUGGUGGUUAAUACCCAUCAGGAAAGACAUCACUCACAGAAGAAGCACCGGCUAACUCCGUGCCAGCAGCCGCGGUAAUACGGAGGGUGCGAGCGUUAAUCGGAAUUACUGUGCGUAAAGCGCGCGUAGGUGGCUUGAUAAGCCGGUUGUGAAAGCCCCGGGCUCAACCUGGGAACGGCAUCCGGAACUGUCAAGCUAGAGUGCAGGAGAGGAAGGUAGAAUUCCCGGUGUAGCGGUGAAAUGCGUAGAGAUCGGGAGGAAUACCAGUGGCGAAGGCGGCCUUCUGGACUGACACUGACACUGAGGUGCGAAAGCGUGGGUAGCAAACAGGAUUAGAUACCCGGGUAGUC
Molecule: ribosomal RNA, 465 nt
Filed under: Vreelandella stevensii
Lineage: Bacteria; Pseudomonadati; Pseudomonadota; Gammaproteobacteria; Oceanospirillales; Halomonadaceae
Description: partial 16S ribosomal RNA
Rfam family: Bacterial small subunit ribosomal RNA
Source: RNAcentral